GAAACAGAGGAACGGGCAAAAAGGAAUAAACAAGUACAUACAUGAUAACCUCAGCUAUGCAAAGUUAGUUGACUUUUUCUUCUUUCGGCUUUUGCUUCUCACCUACAACCUUCUUCCAGUUCUCUUUGCUGUCAAUUAUCUCACCAGUUUUGAUGAGGUAACGAACUCGGCUUCCGUCCUCGAGAGUUUUAUGCCCUACUCGACUAGCCACAUUUUUCUCUUUGGAAUAUAGCAUUACAUUCGAGCUGUGAAUAGGUGCUUCAAUCUUGACAAUCUGCCCUGGCUCUCCCUGCUCUCUGCUCUUCAUGUGUUUUGUUUUCAAGUUCAUGUCUUUUAUCACUAUGGUACUGUUAUGCCUGAAAAUUUUUGUAACUUCUCCAGUUUUACCUUUCUCGCGUCCUGCAAUUAUUUUUACUGUGUCCCCAACCUUAACAUGCAUUUUAUGCAGAACAGGAAGGCUGUUCGGUUUACAUUCUAUCCGUUCCCAUCGCUUGAGCUUCAUAACAAUGGAACGUGGCUGAUCUGCAACAUUGACCGGUGAAUGCGAGGGAGGGAACAUGAGGCACUGGCCGAAGAAGGUACUGGGCGCGAGGGAGAGGGAAGCCAUGGAGCUCUGAAGUCCUGCAAUCGC
Molecule: unclassified non-coding RNA, 631 nt
Filed under: Hevea brasiliensis (rubber tree)
Lineage: Eukaryota; Viridiplantae; Streptophyta; Magnoliopsida; Malpighiales; Euphorbiaceae
Source: RNAcentral